Molecule: long non-coding RNA, 231 nt
Organism: Macrobrachium nipponense
Lineage: Eukaryota; Metazoa; Arthropoda; Malacostraca; Decapoda; Palaemonidae
Exons: 3
Source: RefSeq, a predicted model, not a curated record
AAUGUUCCCCAGUAGUGAUGAUGAGGAUGGGGUUGAGAUGAAUCCAGAUAUUCCACCCUGUGAAAACCCAGACAAGUUUGCAAUGUUCCCCAGUAGUGAUGAUGAGGAUGGGGUUGAGAUGAAUCCAGAUACUCCACCCUGUGAAAACCCAGACAAGUUUGCAAUGUUCCCCAGUAGUGAUGAUGAGGAUGGGGUUGAGAUGAAUCCAGAUACUCCACCCUGUGAAAAACC